AUGGCCGAUCCUGCGCCAACCCCAAGGAUAAAUUCUUGGCCAAUAGUUCUGGCGGCGCAACAAAUCUUGAACGUUGAUGCAUCCUUUAGAGAGGAGGAUUAUACGGGGUCAUGUGGGGCCCUUCACAAAGGGAAUUUUAUAGCAGCUUGCACCUCACGUAUUGAACACGUUGCAGAUGUAGUUUCUGCUGAAGCUGCAGCACUUCGCGAGGGUUUGAAAUUAGCUCAUACACUGGGAUGCAAUGAUAUCGUGGCAAGGAUGGAUAACUUCACUGUAGUAAACGUUCUACAGCUCAAUGAAGGACAAGCGAUGGUGGCUGCUCCUGUUCUGGAAGAGUGCAGAGAUUUACUAAGAGAUUUAGGGAAAAUUAUUCUUGAGCAUUGUAAUAGAGAGUCAAAUAUGACAGCUCAUGUGCUAGCUGAAUAUGGUCGUGCAAAUGAUCUGCCUAUGUGGAUUGAGGCACCCCAAGUUUCCUCGCCAAAUUCUUGGCGGACGAUGUAUCUGUUAUUUAAAUUAAUAAAGCUAGUUAUGAAGGCCUUCUUGUCAAAAAAAAAGGAAGAAAGGGAGGACGACAUGCGCGAGAGGAGAUGGCCGUCCACGCCGGCGCACCCAACAAGUAUAUAUCUCUCCUGGCGAUAA
RNAcentral lists this ribosomal RNA (639 nucleotides) under Triticum aestivum (bread wheat). RNAcentral describes it as "partial small subunit ribosomal RNA". Lineage: Eukaryota; Viridiplantae; Streptophyta; Magnoliopsida; Poales; Poaceae. The record is from RNAcentral.